RNAcentral lists this microRNA precursor (99 nucleotides) under Sorghum bicolor (sorghum). RNAcentral's name for it is "MIR5565 microRNA precursor family". It matches the Rfam family "MIR5565 microRNA precursor family". Lineage: Eukaryota; Viridiplantae; Streptophyta; Magnoliopsida; Poales; Poaceae. The record is from Rfam by way of RNAcentral.
GUAGUUGGAUUUGCAUCAAUCUACAUGUGUUGGAGUAAAUUAGUGUAAAACUUGAACUAAAUUCCACCCCAACACGUGUGGAUUGAGGUGAAUCCAACA